AGAGUUUGAUCAUGGCUCAGAACGAACGCUGGCGGCGUGCUUAACACAUGCAAGUCGCGUGCGCAGUUCCGUAGCAAUACGGGAUGGGCGCACGGCGCACGGGUGCGUAACACGUGGGCAAUCUGCCCUCUGAUGGGGAAUAACCCGCCGAAAGGCGGGCUAAUUCCGCAUAAGAUUCCCGGGACUUCGGUUCUGGGAUUGAAAGCAGUAAUGCGUCGGAGGAGGAGCCCGCGCCCGAUUAGCUAGUUGGUGAGGUAACGGCUCACCAAGGCAAUGAUCGGUAGCUGGUCUGAGAGGAUGAUCAGCCACACUGGAACUGAGACACGGUCCAGACUCCUACGGGAGGCAGCAGUGGGGAAUCUUGCACAAUGGGCGAAAGCCUGAUGCAGCGACGCCGCGUGGGGGAUGAAGCAUUUCGGUGUGUAAACCCCUUUCGACUGGGAAGAAUGCCUCGCAAGAGGAGUGACGGUACCAGUAGAAGAAGCCCCGGCUAACUACGUGCCAGCAGCCGCGGUAAGACGUAGGGGGCCAGCGUUGUUCGGAAUUACUGGGUGUAAAGGGUUCGUAGGCGGUGCGGCAAGUUGGGAGUGAAAUCUCUGGGCUUAACCCAGAGGCUGCUUCCAAAACUGCUGUGCUCGAGUGUGAGAGAGGCUCGUGGAAUUGCAGGUGUAGCGGUGAAAUGCGUAGAUAUCUGCAGGAACACCCGUGGCGAAAGCGGCGAGCUGGAUCACUACUGACGCUGAGGAACGAAAGCUAGGGGAGCAAACAGGAUUAGAUACCCUGGUAGUCCUAGCCCUAAACGAUCAGGACUUGGGGUGCCGCCCGUUCGGGCGUCGUCCCGGAGCUAACGCGUUAAGUCCUGCACCUGGGGAGUACGGUCGCAAGACUGAAACUCAAAGGAAUUGACGGGGCCCGCACAAGCGGUGGAACAUGUGGUUCAUUCGACGCUACGCGAGGAACCUUACCUGGGCUCGAAAUGCUAGUGACC
Molecule: ribosomal RNA, 988 nt
Filed under: uncultured bacterium
Lineage: Bacteria
Description: bacterial SSU rRNA
Rfam family: Bacterial small subunit ribosomal RNA
Source: RNAcentral